GUUGAUCCAUAUGCCAAGAAUGAGGCUUUCAAUUGCAGCAAUGGGGAUGUGGUUAAGUGGAAGCAUUUGUUCAGGGUUUUGGCAGAGCAGUUCGAGCUUGAUAUUGAGGACGUUGGCGAGGAGGGCGGAUCGGAGGCGAGCUUGGAGGAGAUGAUGAAAGAUAAGGGGCCGGUGUGGGAUGAGAUUGUGAAAGAGAAGGGUCUGGUUCCUACCAAGCUGGAAGAAGUUGGUAACUGGUGGUUUGUGGAUCUUAUGUUUGGAGUUGAGACAAGUCUGGACAGCAUGAACAAGAGCAA
This 296-nucleotide long non-coding RNA is filed under the name Malus domestica (apple). Its description in RNAcentral is "long non-coding RNA (MDOM_LNC004740)". The record is from RNAcentral. Lineage: Eukaryota; Viridiplantae; Streptophyta; Magnoliopsida; Rosales; Rosaceae.